GUCGGCUGCGGAGAUGGCAUGCCUCCCUGCGGUCGCCGGCGGCGCGUGGCGCGCGGCCCGGACCCUCAACCGCCGGUGCGUCCGGCUGAUGAUGCCUGCGUGUUC
Molecule: non-coding RNA, 105 nt
Filed under: Burkholderia sp.
Lineage: Bacteria; Pseudomonadati; Pseudomonadota; Betaproteobacteria; Burkholderiales; Burkholderiaceae
Description: Fluoride sequence
Rfam family: Fluoride riboswitch aptamer (crcB RNA motif)
Source: RNAcentral